AUGCCGGUGCUCCUCUUCAUCUUUCCCGACCUGCAAGGACGUAAGCAUCCAGUACGGGACUGCACCAGCAUCGGUGGCGGUGUCCAGGGCGCCAGCUCGUCAUUGUCCACACCACACUGGAGCAGACACGCCUCUGUACAGCUCUCACGCCCGAAAAGUUCAAGAUCAUACGACGAUGCUGUUGUUUUCGACCUCCAAGGACGCGUGCCGGCAUCCGGGUACGCAAGCAACCAAUACAACCACGACAUGGUGCAGUCGGCCUUCUCUGAUGAGCUUCCGCCCUUGCACCAACAGCAGCACCGCGCUGGCUGCUGCAACAUUGAGUUCAACAGCGGUGCUAGCUCACUCGUUGGAGUAGAUCUUCAAGCCGGAAAGAGCUAUGCUCCCCAAAUUUACUCGGAGAAGGGAGCUGGGUGUUGCUAA
RNAcentral lists this ribosomal RNA (423 nucleotides) under Triticum aestivum (bread wheat). RNAcentral describes it as "partial small subunit ribosomal RNA". The record is from RNAcentral. Lineage: Eukaryota; Viridiplantae; Streptophyta; Magnoliopsida; Poales; Poaceae.